This 108-nucleotide ribosomal RNA is filed under the name Rhina ancylostomus. RNAcentral describes it as "partial 16S rRNA". The record is from RNAcentral. Lineage: Eukaryota; Metazoa; Chordata; Chondrichthyes; Rhinopristiformes; Rhinidae.
ACCUUAAAGCUAGUUUAUAUACCAAAAAACACAACAAUAUCAAACCCACCAUCCUUAAAUACCUAAUUUAAAACAUUUUCAUUUUUCCUAGUAUAGGUGAUAGAAAAG